AUUUAAAAAUUUACUACUUAAAA
RNAcentral lists this small nuclear RNA (23 nucleotides) under Arabidopsis thaliana (thale cress). RNAcentral's name for it is "snRNA_18695". The record is from RNAcentral. Lineage: Eukaryota; Viridiplantae; Streptophyta; Magnoliopsida; Brassicales; Brassicaceae.